RNAcentral lists this ribosomal RNA (733 nucleotides) under uncultured soil bacterium. RNAcentral's name for it is "bacterial SSU rRNA". It matches the Rfam family "Bacterial small subunit ribosomal RNA", at positions 37 to 749 of the family's 1533-position model. The record is from RNAcentral.
UGGCGGCGUGCCUAACACAUGCAAGUCGAACGCGAAAGUCCCGCAAGGGAUGAGUAGAGUGGCAAACGGGUGAGUAACACGUGGGUGACCUGCCUUCGAGCGGGGGAUAACGUCCCGAAAGGGACGCUAAUACCGCAUGACAUCCUGCCUUUGAAGAGGUGGAGAUCAAAGCUGGGGAUCGCAAGACCUAGCACUUGAAGAGGGGCCCGCGUCUGAUUAGCUAGUUGGUGGGGUAACGGCUCACCAAGGCAACGAUCAGUAUCCGGCCUGAGAGGGCGGACGGACACACUGGGACUGAGACACGGCCCAGACUCCUACGGGAGGCAGCAGUGGGGAAUUGUUCGCAAUGGGGGAAACCCUGACGAGGCAACGCCGCGUGGAGGACGAAGGCCUUCGGGUCGUAAACUCCUGUCGACCGGGACGAACGCUAUUGGGCCCAAUACGCCCGAUAGUCGACUGUACCGGUGGAGGAAGCCACGGCUAACUCUGUGCCAGCAGCCGCGGUAAUACAGAGGUGGCAAGCGUUGUUCGGAAUUACUGGGCGUAAAGGGCGCGUAGGCGGUCUGGUCAGUCCCGUGUGAAAUCCCCCGGCUCAACUGGGGAACUGCACGGGAAACAGCCGGGCUUGAGUUCGGGAGAGGGAAGCGGAAUUCCGGGUGUAGCGGUGAAAUGCGUAGAUAUCCGGAGGAACACCGGUGGCGAAGGCGGCUUCCUGGACCGAUACUGACGCUGA